GCUAGAAGAUGACGAGUGGCGGACGGCCUGAGUAAUGCUUGGGAACUUGCCUUUGCGAGGGGGAUAACAGUUGGAAACGACUGCUAAUACCGCAUAAUGUCUUCGGACCAAACGGGGCUUCGGCUCCGGCGCAAAGAGAGGCCCAAGUGAGAUUAGCUAGUUGGUAAGGUAACGGCUUACCAAGGCGACGAUCUCUAGCUGUUCUGAGAGGAAGAUCAGCCACACUGGGACUGAGACACGGCCCAGACUCCUACGGGAGGCAGCAGUGGGGAAUAUUGCACAAUGGGGGAAACCCUGAUGCAGCCAUGCCGCGUGUGUGAAGAAGGCCUUCGGGUUGUAAAGCACUUUCAGUUGUGAGGAAAAGUUAGUAGUUAAUACCUGCUAGCCGUGACGUUAACAACAGAAGAAGCACCGGCUAACUCCGUGCCAGCAGCCGCGGUAAUACGGAGGGUGCGAGCGUUAAUCGGAAUUACUGGGCGUAAAGCGCACGCAGGCGGUUUGUUAAGCUAGAUGUGAAAGCCCCGGGCUCAACCUGGGAUGGUCAUUUAGAACUGGCAGACUAGAGUCUUGGAGAGGGGAGUGGAAUUCCAGGUGUAGCGGUGAAAUGCGUAGAUAUCUCGAGGAACAUCAGUGGUGAAGGCGACUCCCUGGCCAAAGACUGACGCUCAUGUGCGACAAGUGUGGGUAGCGAACAGGAUUAGAUAC
RNAcentral lists this ribosomal RNA (705 nucleotides) under Alteromonas macleodii. RNAcentral's name for it is "bacterial SSU rRNA". It matches the Rfam family "Bacterial small subunit ribosomal RNA", at positions 79 to 785 of the family's 1533-position model. The record is from RNAcentral. Lineage: Bacteria; Pseudomonadati; Pseudomonadota; Gammaproteobacteria; Alteromonadales; Alteromonadaceae.